UACGGAGGUCCCAAGCGUUGUUCGGAUUCACUGGGCGUAAAGGGUGCGUAGGCGGUCGGGAAAGUUUGAUGUGAAAGCUCCGGGCUCAACCUGGAAAUGGCAUUGAAAACUAUUCGACUAGAGGAUUGUAAGGGAGACUGGAAUUCUCGGUGUAGCAGUGAAAUGCGUAGAUAUCGAGAGGAACACCAGUGGCGAAGGCGAGUCUCUGGACAAUUCCUGACGCUGAGGCACGAAAGCUAGGGGAGCAAACAGG
This 253-nucleotide ribosomal RNA is filed under the name uncultured bacterium. Its description in RNAcentral is "partial 16S ribosomal RNA". It matches the Rfam family "Bacterial small subunit ribosomal RNA", at positions 524 to 776 of the family's 1533-position model. The record is from RNAcentral.